This is a long non-coding RNA of Salvia splendens (bonfire salvia), 359 nucleotides long. RefSeq lists it as uncharacterized. The record is from RefSeq and is a predicted model, not a curated record. The transcript has 2 exons. Lineage: Eukaryota; Viridiplantae; Streptophyta; Magnoliopsida; Lamiales; Lamiaceae.
CAAAAUUUCUCUACAAAGACCCCCUCCAUACCACCUUCGGAUCCCCUCCCACACACCCCAAAAAUUAAGCAAAUUUGGAGAGUUAGAGAGCUUGUUGUUCUAGGAGCAAGAAUUCAAGGCAGUAACUACUUCAAGAGGUUGAACGUGAUCGAGGAGGUGAAGGUGUUGGGAGAUGAUAUUAAUAAGUAGCAAUAGGUAGCCCAAAGUAGUGUGCCUUCACACAUGCUACUUUGUCUUGGUCUCUUCUGGUGCAUUAGGAACUUUUUACUAGGAACUUAUGAACCUAGAUAACUCACUCAGAUUUUUAUUUUGACCUUGUAUCACUUUCGCAUCUGGAACAAUUGUUUGAGCUUGACUUA